CAGAGGGUGCAAGCGUUAAUCGGAAUUACUGGGCGUAAAGCGUGCGUAGUCGGCCAUUUAAGUCGGGUGUGAAAUCCCCGGGCUCAACCUGGGAAUUGCAUUCGAUACUGGAUGGCUAGAGUUCGGCAGAGGGAAGCGGAAUUUCGGGUGUAGCGGUGAAAUGCGUAGAUAUCCGAAGGAACAUCAGUGGCGAAAGCGGCUUCCUGGACCAGAACUGACGAUCAGGCACGAAAGCGUGGGGAGCAAACAGGAUUAGAUACCCUGGUAGUCCACGCCAUAAACGAUGACAACUAGACGUUGGGAGGGUAAGCCUCUCAGUGUCGCAGCUAACGCGUUAAGUUGUCCGCCUGGGGAGUACGGCCGCAAGGUUG
RNAcentral lists this ribosomal RNA (371 nucleotides) under uncultured organism. RNAcentral's name for it is "bacterial SSU rRNA". It matches the Rfam family "Bacterial small subunit ribosomal RNA", at positions 526 to 896 of the family's 1533-position model. The record is from RNAcentral.